UGUUGCUCUGUUGCCCAGGCUGGAGUGCAGUGGUGUGAUGUCGGCUCAUUACAACCUCUGCCUCCCAGGUUCAAGUGAUUCUCCUGCCUCAGUCUCCCGAAUAGCUGGGCAUUACAGCUGGCCGCCACCAUGCCCAGGCUGGAGUGCAAUGGUGCGAUCUUGGCUAACUGCAACAUCUGCCUCCCGGGUUCAGGCGAUUCUCCUGCCUCACCUCGCCCUGCUGAUUUUUAUUUUUUUGUAUUUUCAGUAG
This 250-nucleotide long non-coding RNA is filed under the name Callithrix jacchus (white-tufted-ear marmoset). RNAcentral's name for it is "lncRNA (ENSCJAG00000085690.1)". Lineage: Eukaryota; Metazoa; Chordata; Mammalia; Primates; Cebidae. The record is from RNAcentral.